CACGUAGGGUGCGAGCGUUGUCCGGAAUUAUUGGGCGUAAAGAGCUCGUAGGCGGUGUGUCGCGUCGGCCGUGAAAACCUGCAGCUUAACUGUGGGCUUGCGGUCGAUACGGGCAUCACUGGAGUUCGGCAGGGGAGACUGGAAUUCCUGGUGUAGCGGUGAAAUGCGCAGAUAUCAGGAGGAACACCGGUGGCGAAGGCGGGUCUCUGGGCCGAUACUGACGCUGAGGAGCGAAGGCCAGGGGAGCAAACGGG
This 254-nucleotide ribosomal RNA is filed under the name uncultured bacterium. RNAcentral's name for it is "partial 16S ribosomal RNA". It matches the Rfam family "Bacterial small subunit ribosomal RNA", at positions 524 to 776 of the family's 1533-position model. The record is from RNAcentral.